GCUGAUGAUGAUUUGCCUAAUGUGUGAGGUGUAGACAGCUCCAAGUCCCUGCGUGCCAGGGAGAACCUACUUGGAGUCCUACAUUCAAAUGAAAAUUUAUGGGCAUUUUCUGAGGU
Molecule: small nucleolar RNA, 116 nt
Filed under: Sorghum bicolor (sorghum)
Lineage: Eukaryota; Viridiplantae; Streptophyta; Magnoliopsida; Poales; Poaceae
Description: snoRNA snoZ278
Rfam family: Small nucleolar RNA Z278
About the family: snoZ278 is a C/D box small nucleolar RNA. Its methylation guide targets have not been reported.
Source: Rfam by way of RNAcentral